RNAcentral lists this ribosomal RNA (642 nucleotides) under Phyllosticta kerriae. RNAcentral describes it as "eukaryotic LSU rRNA". It matches the Rfam family "Eukaryotic large subunit ribosomal RNA", at positions 1 to 657 of the family's 3401-position model. The record is from RNAcentral. Lineage: Eukaryota; Fungi; Ascomycota; Dothideomycetes; Botryosphaeriales; Phyllostictaceae.
UUGACCUCGGAUCAGGUAGGGAUACCCGCUGAACUUAAGCAUAUCAAUAAGCGGAGGAAAAGAAACCAACUGGGAUUGCCUUAGUAACGGCGAGUGAAGCGGCAAUAGCUCAAAUUUGAAAGCUGGCGCCUUCGGCGUCCGCGUUGUAAUUUGUAGAGGAUGCUUCGGCGAGGACUCCUGCCUAAGUUCCCUGGAAUGGGACGUCACAGAGGGUGAGAAUCCCGUAUGUGGCGGGCGGUCCAAGCCAUGUGAAGCUCCUUCGACGAGUCGAGUUGUUUGGGAAUGCAGCUCUAAAUGGGAGGUAAAUUUCUUCUAAAGCUAAAUACCGGCCAGAGACCGAUAGCGCACAAGUAGAGUGAUCGAAAGAUGAAAAGCACUUUGGAAAGAGAGUUAAAAAGUACGUGAAAUUGUUGAAAGGGAAGCGCUUGCAACCAGACUCGCUCGCAGUUGCUCAGCCCGCCUCCUGGCGGGUGUACUCUUCUGUGAUCGGGCCAGCAUCAGUUCGGGCGGCCGGAUAAAGGUGUCGGGAAUGUAGCACCCUUCGGGGUGUGUUAUAGCCCGGCGCGGAAUGCGGCCAGCCUGGACUGAGGAUCUCGCUUCGGCAAGGAUGCUGGCGUAAUGGUUGUAAGCGGCCCGUCUUGA